AUGGCGCCGAGGGAAAUCGAGAUCAAUGCAAAUACCAUCGAUGAUGCAGCAAGAGGGAUACUCCGUAUUCUGGAGGGUGCGAGCAAACAUGAACGGAAUAUCUACUUCCAUGGCUGGUGUGGACUCGGGGCAUCCGCUACUCUAAGAAUGGUAUCCCAACGCUUGAAAUCAUCAUCCACUGAAGAAAUGAAGUUUGACAAGGUUGUUCACGUGGAUUGCUCAUUGUGGCAAGGCAUGAGAGCCCUGCAAAAGGCAAUUGUUGAGGAGCUGGAGCUUCCCCAAUCAGUGAUGGCCAUCUUCGACUAG
RNAcentral lists this ribosomal RNA (306 nucleotides) under Triticum aestivum (bread wheat). RNAcentral describes it as "partial small subunit ribosomal RNA". The record is from RNAcentral. Lineage: Eukaryota; Viridiplantae; Streptophyta; Magnoliopsida; Poales; Poaceae.